RNAcentral lists this small nuclear RNA (99 nucleotides) under Mus spicilegus (steppe mouse). Lineage: Eukaryota; Metazoa; Chordata; Mammalia; Rodentia; Muridae. The record is from RNAcentral.
AUGUUUCUUUCACUUCAGCAGCACAUAUUCUAAAAUUGGAAUGAUACAGAGAAGAUUAGCAUGGCCCCUGUGCAAAUUCGUGAAGCAUUCCAUAAUUUU